UACAGAGGUCUCAAGCGUUGUUCGGAUUCAUUGGGCGUAAAGGGUGCGUAGGUGGCGCGCUAAGUCAGGUGUGAAAUCUCGGAGCUUAACUCCGAAACUGCAUUUGAUACUGGCGUGCUUGAGGACUGGAGAGGAGACUGGAAUUCACGGUGUAGCAGUGAAAUGCGUAGAUAUCGUGAGGAAGACCAGUGGCGAAGGCGGGUCUCUGGGCCUUACCUGACGCUGAGGCGCGAAAGCUAGGGGAGCGAACAGG
RNAcentral lists this ribosomal RNA (253 nucleotides) under uncultured bacterium. RNAcentral's name for it is "partial 16S ribosomal RNA". It matches the Rfam family "Bacterial small subunit ribosomal RNA", at positions 524 to 776 of the family's 1533-position model. The record is from RNAcentral.